CCUCGUGCUUCCAUGUCCAACGAUCAAGGUUGAGCCGAUCCUUGGCUGGGUUUUAUCAAUUUGCAUCGCCAAAACUUCAAGUUUGAUUCCACAAUUUGCAUCUCCGAUUUACGCAGCCGUAGUCGUCAUUGGAAGCAAGGUAUUACCACAAGUUCAUUGUUAAUGGGGAUUGGCAGCUUUCAACAUCGUCCCCAUCUGAAAGGGAUGGAAGUGGGAAUGUCAACAAUAUAAUCAUCCUUGGCGAAACUGCCGGUGUGAGACCUUCUGUUUAACAACCGCAAAAUGUCAGUGGACUAAUAUGCAUUUCUUUUUCGUCGAUUGUUUUCUUUUCCAGUAAGCAAAAAAUAGGACUUCUCCAAUGUCAGCUUUAGUUUCUUGUGUGGUGAUUGAAUUCUGCAGAUGGAAUUAGUUCUACAGAUUGAAUUGAAAUUUUAAUCACCCUUCUCUAGUAGUAUGUAAUGUACUAUAAAUGAAUUGAAGUCACAAAUCUCAA
Pyrus x bretschneideri (Chinese white pear) is the source of this 493-nucleotide long non-coding RNA. RefSeq lists it as uncharacterized. Lineage: Eukaryota; Viridiplantae; Streptophyta; Magnoliopsida; Rosales; Rosaceae. The transcript is spliced from 2 exons. The record is from RefSeq and is a predicted model, not a curated record.